RNAcentral lists this ribosomal RNA (443 nucleotides) under uncultured bacterium. RNAcentral describes it as "partial 16S ribosomal RNA". It matches the Rfam family "Bacterial small subunit ribosomal RNA", at positions 338 to 795 of the family's 1533-position model. The record is from RNAcentral.
CCUACGGGAGGCUGCAGUGGGGAAUAUUGGGCAAUGGGCGCAAGCCUGACCCAGCAACGCCGCGUGAAGGAAGAAGGCUUUCGGGUUGUAAACUUCUUUUCUCAGGGACGAAGAAAGUGACGGUACCUGAGGAAUAAGCCACGGCUAACUACGUGCCAGCAGCCGCGGUAAUCCGUAGGUGGCAAGCGUUAUCCGGAUUUACUGGGUGUAAAGGGCGUGUAGGCGGGGAAGCAAGUCAGAGGUGAAAACCGCGGGCUCAACCUGUGGCCUGCAUUUGAAACUGUUUUUCUUGAGUACUGGAGAGGCAGACGGAAUUCCUAGUGUAGCGGUGAAAUGCGUAGAUAUUAGGAGGAACACCAGUGGCGAAGGCGGUCUGCUGGACAGCAACUGACGCUGAGGCGCGAAAGCGUGGGGAGCAAACAGGAUUAGAUACCCCUGUAGUC